RNAcentral lists this ribosomal RNA (321 nucleotides) under Sandona sp. Its description in RNAcentral is "SSU rRNA". The stretch from base 41 to 321 matches the Rfam family "Eukaryotic small subunit ribosomal RNA", at positions 674 to 955 of the family's 1831-position model. The record is from RNAcentral. Lineage: Eukaryota; Cercozoa; Glissomonadida; Sandonidae.
GAUUUCUGGUCAUCCGCUUCUGGCCGGCCACGGUUUCGUGUGUUAGUGCUUGAACUGUGUCCAUCCUUCCAAUCGCUCGUGGCGCAUCUUCAUUGAUGGGUGACGGGUAUUGGAUCGUUUACUUUGAAAAAAUUAGAGUGUUUCAAGCAGGCUUGAUGCUAUGAAUACAUUAGCAUGGAAUAAUAAUUUAGGACUUCGGUUCUAUUUUGUUGGUUUCUAGGACUGAAGUAAUGAUUGAUAGGGAUAGUUGGGGGUGCUAGUAUUCAGCGGCCAGAGGUGAAAUUCUCGGAUUCGCUGAAGACUAACUUAUGCGAAAGCAUU